Molecule: long non-coding RNA, 957 nt
Organism: Austrofundulus limnaeus
Lineage: Eukaryota; Metazoa; Chordata; Actinopteri; Cyprinodontiformes; Rivulidae
Exons: 5
Source: RefSeq, a predicted model, not a curated record
CACAUUCCAUUUAGAGGACUGAGGUCAGAGUCCCACUCACACAGACAGGCUGGUUAUGGGUUGUUGUGCAGCAGGAUAGAAUUGGAACGAGGCCCUUAUAAUCAGGACACCUGGGUUUUUGUCGAAAGUGCCUCCGAGAGGAAAAAUGCUGUGACGUCUGUGAAGAUAAAUGUAGCUGAAGAAAGUUAACGGGACAGGCAAUUGUCUCCAUAAAAAUAAUAAUAAAAAAAAUCACGAAUUUUGACACGAGAAUGGAAAGAACACAAAGAAGAGACGAGCUGCUCCUCACAGCACAGAGGCGUUGUGCUGUCAUGUGGUGGUUGAAUACGACGGACUGAGGACCAUUUUGCAGAUAAGGAGGAGCAAAUCUCCGCCAAAAAAACUACAGAUGUGUAACAUGACCAAACCUGAACGCUGCAGGUUGCUGCGAUGACGCCAUCCACCGGCGUCUCAGAGAACGGGUCAAACGUUCUGUCGGAUCGUCGCAUGAAGUCUGGUUUCAGCAGUUUUACCCUCUAAAGCUCCGCCUCCAGCUGUACACAUGACACACAGCGGGCCAUAUGGUCGAGCCCCCGUGCCUCAGGACACCAGCUGCUCAUCAACAGGCAUCACUGACACACAGGUCGACAGGAGGAAACUUUACAGGCUGUUCAGCAGACAACCUCUUAAAAUCGGGUUGUUUUCUACCGUUCUACCCAAAGCAGGCAAAAAAAAAAACUUAAUUUAUUAAGUUAAUAAAGAUGUUCUGAGUCAGGUUGUGGACUGCUUGGACUCUCAGGAGUUUUUCUGCUGCUUGGGGUGAAUUUUGAGUUUUAAGAGCCUCAAACAUAGAAAUCUGCCAGUUUGCCUUGCUCUUAAUGGACAACCAGAAACCUCUUACAGUUCGUGUGUGUGUGUGGCCUUGUUUUUCCUACAUCGUGGGGCCCAGUUUUAAGGAAAAUGAAGCCUCGUGGGGAC